This 1299-nucleotide long non-coding RNA is filed under the name Apteryx haastii (Great spotted kiwi). RNAcentral's name for it is "lncRNA (ENSAHAG00000005116.1)". The record is from RNAcentral. Lineage: Eukaryota; Metazoa; Chordata; Aves; Apterygiformes; Apterygidae.
AUGUCAGCAGGUACCUUCCGGGCUUGGAUCCUGAGGCUUCCCUUCCCGGCCGCGCCGAGCUACCGAAACGGGCCUGAACCGAAAGGGCGAGAGCGGGCGCGGGAAAAACACCUUGCCGAGCAGAGAGCGGCUGGCCGGAGCGACGGUGGCGGCGAUCCUUGGGGACGGCGGCUCGGACGCCGGCUGAACCCAGGUCAGAGGUUUUCCCCAUGCAAACGGCCGCUUUUAUUAAAACCGCGCCGAUCCCCCCCUAAAUAUCCCCAAAUCCCCCUCUCAAGCCCUUUGGACGAGCAGUGUGAAAAACCCGCGAGCUUUGCUGCCGGUGCCCGGUUCCUCGCCGUUAAGCUGCUUGGCGCUAGCCCCGUUUACGCCGAGAGCGACCUAAUUAAGCCACGGUCGUUAGCUCGCGCUGGCGUUCGGCUAAAUCGUUUUCCGGAGAGACGCCCCGAUAAAAUCGCUGGUCCUUCAGCCGGUGCCGGUGAUGAAGGAGAAACCGUGUUAACGCCGUGUGUUUUUUGCGCCACCUUCUCCGCGUUAACGCGCCUCUCGCUUUGAGCCGGCCUUGAUCCGUAUAGUCCAAAGCGCCGAGUGGAGCGGCGCUGAUUUACUCCGGGGUGACCCCAGGCUCAAAUUCUCCCCCCAAACACCAAAAAAUCCCGAUUUCCUGUGGCGCAGGGCGGCCGUGGCGAGAUUUGGGACGAGGAGUGGGAACUCCUCGCUUGGCUAAUGCAAAAUCCUCCGAAAACAAGGGCACUUGGAUGUGCUUUUAUGUAAAAUAGGGAGUUUGAGGUUUUUUUUUCCUCUUCUUUAUCCAAAGGUGGGGGAAAAAAAGGUAAAAACCCGUUCAAAAAUGCACCGCUCCUCCCUGCUGAUGUGCUGCCGGGCUUUUUCUUCCCUUUGCACCUCGCUCCUUGCUGCCGGUUCGUGCUUGGGGCAUCUCUUGUGUGUGCACCCGUGCGUGCACCCGUGCGUGCACCCAUGCACCCAUACGUGCACCCGUGCGCGCACCCAUGUGCCCGUACGUGCACCCGUGCAUGCCGGCUCUCUGCGCACGACCUCGGCACCAUCCAAAACCUCCCAAACCGCCCCGUUUCCGCCGCCUUUGCCAGCGCUCGGCUGCCACCGCAGCUCCGGGAUCCGAGGCGGCCGGCGUGGCGCUCGGCCCCCUUUUCUGGGGGUAUUUUGCCCCUUUUCUUCAAGGCGGGGGGUGGAAACGCGUCUCGACAUUCGUCUUAUAGCAGCGAAGGGGGAUAAAAGCAGGGAGGAAAAGAAAAUAAAACUGUUUUAUUCCACCCGGCA